This 85-nucleotide transfer RNA is filed under the name Hyphomicrobiales bacterium. RNAcentral's name for it is "tRNA-Leu". It matches the Rfam family "tRNA". Rfam says of the family: Transfer RNA (tRNA) molecules are approximately 80 nucleotides in length. Their secondary structure includes four short double-helical elements and three loops (D, anti-codon, and T loops). Lineage: Bacteria; Pseudomonadati; Pseudomonadota; Alphaproteobacteria; Hyphomicrobiales. RNAcentral also lists the same sequence under 3 other names. The record is from RNAcentral.
GCCCCUGUGGUGGAAUUGGUAGACACGACAGAUUCAAAAUCUGUUGCUUUAGGGCGUGCUGGUUCGAGUCCGGCCAGGGGCACCA